GCGCACUACAAAGCUUCUCGCUUCGGUUCAGGAGCCCAUGGGCAUUGUCUUUUGAUUCAGUGCAGUGGCAAGGGACACAAGAUCCAGACCUACAGGUCGGCAACAAGGAGAAUGAUUAGAUCUAGAAGACUGAGAUCAAUCUUUAUCUAGUUGAGGGCUAAGCCCGAGAGCUAUCUUUCCAGCCGGUUCAACAUAAGCUUUCGGGAAGAGGGGUAGUCUUGUGUGUAAGCAUAGCAUUUCUGGUCGAACCCGCCCAACCCAACUAAGACGAACCGAACCUGACAGACACAUCUUUUUCCUUUUGGGAGGGUACUCCGAGUAGUGGGUACCUCGUAGGACCUCGACCUGUGGCUUCUCCUUGAUUCGGAUGGAGCCUUAAAUCCCGGCGAGCAGAAGAAGGAUUCCAUCACCACCCAGCACCCAAAACCAGUACCCGCCCAACCAGCAACUAGAGCUGUAUGCAUUAUAUG
RNAcentral lists this long non-coding RNA (470 nucleotides) under Panax ginseng (ginseng). RNAcentral's name for it is "long non-coding RNA (PGIN_LNC001704)". Lineage: Eukaryota; Viridiplantae; Streptophyta; Magnoliopsida; Apiales; Araliaceae. The record is from RNAcentral.